Molecule: ribosomal RNA, 303 nt
Filed under: uncultured bacterium
Lineage: Bacteria
Description: partial 16S ribosomal RNA
Rfam family: Bacterial small subunit ribosomal RNA
Source: RNAcentral
AGCAGUAGCCACGGUAAUACAGAGGGUGCGAGCGUUAAUCGGAUUUACUGGGCGUAAAGCGUGCGUAGGCGGCUUCUUAAGUCGGAUGUGAAAUCCCUGAGCUUAACUUAGGAAUUGCAUUCGAUACUGGGAAGCUAGAGUAUGGGAGAGGAUGGUAGAAUUCCAGGUGUAGCGGUGAAAUGCGUAGAGAUCUGGAGGAAUACCGAUGGCGAAGGCAGCCAUCUGGCCUAAUACUGACGCUGAGGUACGAAAGCAUGGGGAGCAAACAGGAUUAGAUACCCCAGUAGUUCCUGUCUCUUAUAC